This is a long non-coding RNA of Arabidopsis thaliana (thale cress), 239 nucleotides long. RefSeq annotates it as other RNA. The record is from RefSeq. Lineage: Eukaryota; Viridiplantae; Streptophyta; Magnoliopsida; Brassicales; Brassicaceae. The transcript has a single exon.
UAUUUUUGUUUCUUCUUCCUCAAGUUUCGUCUUUAUAUUAAAUAUCAAAGAAAAAGGAUUUUCCAACACAAAUUAUAGUAUAAGAUUGCGCGGGGAAUCUAAUUUCGAAUCUAGUUUAUUCGUUAAACUCAAGAUCAUUCUCUUAGAAACUUUGUCAUAGUUGGUUCGGUUAAUUUGGCUUAUCUUUGUUUUCUUUUGAUAAUUUGGCUUAUCGUAUUGUUAUAUCUCUUUUUCCACGA